Molecule: ribosomal RNA, 468 nt
Filed under: uncultured bacterium
Lineage: Bacteria
Description: partial 16S ribosomal RNA
Rfam family: Bacterial small subunit ribosomal RNA
Source: RNAcentral
GACGAACGCUGGCGGCGUGCUUAACACAUGCAAGUCGAACGGAAAGGCCCUGCUUUUGUGGGGUGCUCGAUUGGCGAACGGGUGAGUAACACGCGAGUAACCUGCCCUUGACUUUGGGAUAACUUCUGGAAACUGGGGCUAAUACCGGAUAGGAGCUCCUGCUGCAUGGUGUGGGUUGGAAAGUUUCGGCGGUUGGGGAUGGACUCGCGGCUUAUCAGCUUGUUGGUGGGGUAGUGGCUUACCAAGGCUUUGACGGGUAGCCGGCCUGAGAGGGUGACCGGCCACAUUGGGACUGAGAUACGGCCCAGACUCCUACGGGAGGCAGCAGUGGGGAAUAUUGCACAAUGGGCGGAAGCCUGAUGCAGCAACGCCGCGUGCGGGAUGACGGCCUUCGGGUUGUAAACCGCUUUCGCCUGUGACGAAGCGUGAGUGACGGUAAUGGGUAAAGAAGCACCGGCUAACUACGUG